UUUAGCUUUAGCAUUUUCAAUGUUCAGUGGUACAUAAUGCGUCUUCAAUUUUAUUUAUCCCAAUAUUAUGUUGUAAACACAACUAUUCAAAAAGAUCAUCGUAUCACUGAGCUCAUUGCUAUAAAAAAAAAAUUAAAAAUUCCUUCUCCGCGCGGCGGUUAAACUUUUGCUUUGGCUAUAAAAAAAUAACCAAGAGAGCGUUCGCAACGCGUACAUAAUAAAUAACGAUUGCACAUUUCAUAGCGUCGUCGUUUCGAUUUUAUGCGCGUUUUUGCCGCCGGUGCGACAUCAAUAUGCAUUCGAGUCGCGUGCCCGCCGGUCAGCUGUUUCUUCUAGCAAGCUGCGCGCCGUAUAAGGAAACCGGGCUCGGCUCGCCGGAUGGAUUACGUCGAUUACAUCGCAAUUAUCCGGGCGCUGUGCUCGCGGCCGCUACGUAACGUUAAACCACUUUCGCGAUCUUUGUUCGCGCGACAUUGACCCCGGUUCGGUCGGACGAGCGAUGCUGCUUAUGUAAUUUUUCGGCUACCGUCGCCGUGCCGGUGGCAUUGGCCUUCGCGCGCCUCUUUUGUGUCUACGCUCCGCAUAGCUUGCGUCAUUCAAUACAAAUCGCUGUACAAACUUUCAGUCUGUAAUGCAUCCCAGUUAGGUAAUUAGGCAGCUGGUUCGUGCGCUUCUGUGGUACUUGCAGCUCCGACCAUGAGAACCCGACCCUGACCACUCCACCACUAGCGAUAGUUGUGGUCACCAUAUCGGUGGUAUGUUUAGGUUAACCGUAAUGUUAAGCUUGUUAAGUCAGUCACUGACGGUUAAGUAAUCUCAAUAUCAACGGCUUGACAGCCGAUAGAACUGAUCGUAUGUUGGCCGUGAUGUGCAUGACAUCAUGCCGAUCGAGACCAAUACACGAUCAGUUUUACCAGCUGUCAAGCCGUUAGCGCUGCAGGCAUGUGAGAUUACUUGAUCGUCAGUGGCUGCGACAGCGACCCGCUAUUACUCUAUAAAUAUUGAAGUUUUUAAUUAACCUGACUCUAAAGUCAGGUUUCGAGGCCGAGGGAACUGAGGUUUGAUCACGUCUUGCCCGCUCAUAGCAGAUAAAUUUUUGCUUAAUUGAAAAAGG
This is a long non-coding RNA of Bicyclus anynana (squinting bush brown), 1114 nucleotides long. RefSeq lists it as uncharacterized. NCBI's taxonomy places the organism in Eukaryota, Metazoa, Arthropoda, Insecta, Lepidoptera, Nymphalidae. The transcript is spliced from 3 exons. The record is from RefSeq and is a predicted model, not a curated record.